UUCUAUGUAACCUAGCGGCGGACGGGUGAGUAACACGUAGGCUGCUGCCCACAAGACAGGGAUAACUACCGGAAACGGUAGCUAAUACCCGAUACAUCCUUUUCCUGCAUGGGCGAAGGAGGAAAGACGGAGCAAUCUGUCACUUGUGGAUGGGCCUGCGGCGCAUUAGCUAGUUGGUGGGGUAAAGGCCUACCAAGGCGACGAUGCGUAGCCGACCUGAGAGGGUGAUCGGCCACACUGGGACUGAGACACGGCCCAGACUCCUACGGGAGGCAGCAGUAGGGAAUCUUCCGCAAUGGGCGAAAGCCUGACGGAGCAACGCCGCGUGAGUGAUGAAGGUUUUCGGAUCGUAAAGCUCUGUUGCCAGGGAAGAACGUCUUGUAGAGUAACUGCUACAAGAGUGACGGUACCUGAGAAGAAAGCCCCGGCUAACUACGUGCCAGCAGCCGCGGUAAUACGUAGGGGGCAAGCGUUGUCCGGAAUUAUUGGGCGUAAAGCGCGCGCAGGCGGCUCUUUAAGUCUGGUGUUUAAUCCCCGAGGCUCAACUUCGGCCUCGCACUGAAAACUGGGGGAGCUUGACUGCAGAACAGGAGAGUGCAAUUCCCCGUGUAGCGAUGAAAUGCGUAUAGAUGUGGAGGA
This 639-nucleotide ribosomal RNA is filed under the name Paenibacillus sp. RNAcentral's name for it is "bacterial SSU rRNA". It matches the Rfam family "Bacterial small subunit ribosomal RNA", at positions 81 to 705 of the family's 1533-position model. The record is from RNAcentral. Lineage: Bacteria; Bacillati; Bacillota; Bacilli; Caryophanales; Paenibacillaceae.